GAGAGAGAGAGAAUGUCUUGAAGUUGAAGUUGUUCUGUAUAUUUUCUAAAGAUGGAGUUAAUUAUACGUGACAUUCUUUUGGCGUCUGUACAGAGAGUGGAGUCAUCCUGUUCAAAUUUUUCAUUUGGGGUGGAUGGAGUUGCUCUUUAUGGGGGCUGCGUCUGCAUUCCUUCACUCUCCUCUGUCCUACUAUUGCGGUUUCUUUUCUUGUUACUUUCUUUUGUCCGUGUAAUUCUUUGUAUGUCGUUGAAUAUGUAAACAUAUAGAAGUCCAAGAACUCCAUUUGUGAACUAAAUACAACAUGCUCGAAAACUUUUGUUCUAAGCAUAUCGGCUGGAGUAUUUUCUUCGUGCCCGUCUUCUCAGAACUCAUGAGCAUUUCAGCGCAAGUUUGAAAUAGUUGUAUCUUGCAAGUUUUGUGCCUACAGUCAAGUAACCUGUAGUAAUCUUGAUGUUUU
This 457-nucleotide long non-coding RNA is filed under the name Eucalyptus grandis. RNAcentral describes it as "long non-coding RNA (EGRA_LNC007697)". The record is from RNAcentral. Lineage: Eukaryota; Viridiplantae; Streptophyta; Magnoliopsida; Myrtales; Myrtaceae.